UACGUAGGGUGCAAGCGUUGUCCGGAAUUAUUGGGCGUAAAGAGCUCGUAGGCGGUCUGUCGCGUCUGCUGUGAAAACUCGGGGCUUAACCCCGGGCCUGCAGUGGGUACGGGCAGACUAGAGUGCGGUAGGGGAGACUGGAAUUCCUGGUGUAGCGGUGAAAUGCGCAGAUAUCAGGAAGAACACCAACGGCGAAGGCAGCUCGCUGGGACGGAACUGACGCUAAGGCGCGAAAGCGUGGGAGCGAACAGG
This 252-nucleotide ribosomal RNA is filed under the name uncultured bacterium. RNAcentral describes it as "partial 16S ribosomal RNA". It matches the Rfam family "Bacterial small subunit ribosomal RNA", at positions 524 to 776 of the family's 1533-position model. The record is from RNAcentral.